Molecule: RNA transcript, 9462 nt
Organism: Uranotaenia lowii
Lineage: Eukaryota; Metazoa; Arthropoda; Insecta; Diptera; Culicidae
Gene: Cont
Gene name: contactin
Exons: 8
Source: RefSeq, a predicted model, not a curated record
GUAGAAGAAAGAGGUGGCGUCAGAUGUCUCGAAAUCGGAAUUUUGUGAUAGUUCAGAUGUAAAAUUAAAUCUAUCGGUGAUAAUUGUCGAAUCACUAUUUGUCUGCUGCAACUGGAGGCCUUAUGUAAAAUUUCGAGAAAUUUGCAUGAACGAGCCACACCCACUAACUCGAUUACAUCUAAAUGUUAUUGUAGGAUUCUUUAAACAUGUUACCGUACCUGUUUUUUACGAUAUGGAUUGGAAGCUGUGCUGGACAAAGCAUACGACUCAAUCAAGGGAGUUCGCCAAACCAAUAUCAGCCUUUCAACAAUCUGGGAGGCGUUAAUGAUGAUUCGUUCUAUGGCAGCGUAAAUCGUUAUAAACAACCUGAUAAUUAUGGGUUUGGCCAAUCGGAAGAAAAUUUAUGUCCAGAACAUUGGACACCAUAUCGAAGCACAUGCAUUCGCAUCCAUAAAUCUCCCAAGAAAGACUAUCUCAGUGCUCAAAAAAUUUGUCGAGCCUACCCAGGGAAUCUCAUUAGUAUCGACAAUAUUGAAAAACAUUCAUUUAUUCUCAAACUGCUGGACAUAGACGAAAACAAAGCGAAUCGGUAUUAUAUAUCUGCUCGACAGGCUUCUCCUGGUAACUGGAUUAACGCCGAUAAAACCCAGCUUGUUACUAUAGAGGAUUCAUUUUAUUAUAACACAAACGACGAUAGUUCGAAUAGCUUUAAUAGUAUUUUCAACACAAAUAAACAACUUGUUGCGAAAACCGACCCUCGGAACAAAUAUAUUCCACGUUUCAACGAAGAUCGAAAUAAUCUGGUUUACGCAUUCAACACAGCCAUGGAAAAAUGGCAAUUCAAUCCUGUACAUCCUAACGAAUAUAAUUUAUUCAUCUGUGAAUCUCAACAAUUGUAUAGUGUAGAAAACAUCAAUAUAUUAGCUGAUGACAAAAGAAGUUUCGAUUACGGCAUCGAAAUCAAAGAUAUCUCAAAGAUCCCGAGAGGGCCUUACUUUAUCAGACAGCCUCGUGAUACAACAUACGACACCGGAAAAGAGAAAAUUACUAAAGAUGUUAUUCUAAGCUGCUCAGCCGGCGGCUAUCCAACCCCUACUUAUAAAUGGUACAAAGAACUUUACGUCAAUGACAAUGUGACAGUGGUGACCCUAAACCCACUGAAGGACACCCGAUAUACGUCAAGUGGAGGAAAUCUAAUCAUACAUGACCCCCAGCAAAUACAGGACCAAGGAACAUACCAUUGUGUUGCCGAGAACAGUCAUGGACGUAUCUUGUCGGAGAGCGUUGAAUUGAAUUUUGGUUACAUCCUGGAAUUCAACCUGCAGCGAUCGUCUGAAACGGGAGAGAUGAAUUGGGGGAAAUCGCUUUACUGUGAUCCCCCGCAACAUUAUCCCGAUGUGAGAUACUACUGGUCACGCGAUUAUUUCCCAAACUUUGUGGAAGAAGACCAGAGAGUGUUCGUCAGUCACGAUGGAUCGCUUUAUUUUUCUUCCCUGGAAAUUAAAGAUCGCGCAGAUUACUCCUGUAACGUUCAAAGCACUGUCAGUGAUACUGGACGAAACGGUCCGUUCUUCAAUCUGCAAGUGGUUUCUCACCCUCAUUAUCAAGAUUUGAUAUUUGCAAACAAUUUUCCGAAAAAUUAUCCCGAAGCUCCUGUUGCCGGGAAGGAUAUAAGACUGGAGUGUAUGGCUUUUGGCUAUCCAGUGCCAUCUUACAAUUGGACAAGGGUUAAUGGACAAUUACCACGAUACUCAUAUCAGGAAAACUAUAAUCGAGUACUUGUUAUAAAAAAUUCGACUGUAAAUGAUAAUGGUGAAUACGUAUGCACGAUUAAAAAUGACCGAAAAUCAAUCUCUAAAAGUGUUCUUGUGAACGUUCAAAUGCGUCCGGUUUUCACAAUUCCUUUGAAAGAUAAAGUAAAAGAUUUCCAGAGCACAGUAACGUUUUUAUGUGAAGCCUCUGCAGUACCAGAUGUAAACUAUACAUGGUAUAAAAACGGUGAAUUAAUGGAUCCCGAAAAUAACAAAUUCAACAAGGACAAAUACAUCAUUCAAGACAAUGUACUGAAAAUAAAUUUUUUGGACCCAGAGGAAGACAACGGAAUGUAUCAAUGUAAAGCAACAAAUCAGCUUAAAGGAGUAUAUUCUUCGGCCCAAUUACGAGUUCUUUCUAUGAAACCUUCGUUUAAAAAGAAACCUCUUGAAUCCGAAAUUUAUACUAUUUAUAACGGAAACACAACUAUUGAAUGUGAUCCAGAGGCAGCACCGCGUCCAAAAAUCGUUUGGAAAAAGGACGGAAAUGUUAUAGGAGGUGGAGGGCAUCGCAGGAUACUACCAACAGGGACUCUUUAUAUAUCACCGACAUCUCGAGAUGAUGAAGGUAUUUAUACAUGCGUUGCCAGUAAUAAUCAGGGUGUAGCAGAAUCGAAAGCACGACUCAUCGUCCUUCAAGAAUUGCGUUUCACAGAACAGCUCCAACCUAAGAUUAUCAAACAAAUUGACGAGCUGCUGUAUUUAAGAUGUGAUGUGAUAUAUGAUGAAAUUCUUGACGUAGCAUUCCUUUGGACACACAACGGGCAAGUUAUCAACACUCUCGAAGAAACAGAGUCUGCAAAUCCCAGAUAUAUAGUAAAUUAUAACAGUUUGGAAGUUCAUAAUUUAACUUUACUAGAUUCCGGAGAAUACGAAUGCAUUGCCAAAUCAGCAGUGAACCAAAUUGUGUCCACUACCAAUGUCUAUGUGCAAGGUCCACCUGGAUCCCCUGGGGCUGUUAAAGUUAUCGAAAUCAAGAAAACAGAUGCUGUUCUAGAUUGGAUCGACGGCAAUGAUAAUGGGCGACCUAUUUUGUUCUAUAACAUCUUGGGACGAACGAAUUGGAACAAAACUUGGGUGAAUAUUACAGAAAAUGUUAUUGCGCAGGAAAUAGAUCGCUAUAACGGAAGGCGUCGGGCUACGGUUAAAAAUUUAACACCGGGUUGCGGUUAUGAAUUUAGUGUUGUGGCAGUGAAUGAUUUGGGUGCUGGUCUACCAAGUCUACCGUCACCCGUACAUAAUACGCAAAAAGAUAAACCCUAUAUAGCACCUCGGUCAGUCGGAGGAGGUGGAGGCAAAAUCGGUGAUCUCACUAUCACCUGGGAGCCACUUCGUCCAGAUGAACAGAACAGCAUCGAUAUUCACUACAAAGUUUUCUACCGUCUACAGGGCCAGAGGGAAUGGGCCACAGAUGUGCUCAAGAAACAAGGAAAUGUUGGCAAGGCGGUUGUUCACAUUCCAUUCGAUAAAUUUUAUACAAAGUAUGAAGUAAAAGUUCAAGCGAUUAAUGAUCUUGGUGAAGGGCCCAUUAGUGAUGUAGCUCUGAUAUAUUCGGCCGAGGAUAUGCCUCAACUUGCUCCACAACAAACUACAGCAUCAAGCUUUAAUUCAACCGCACUGAACGUCACAUGGAAGGCAGUAACACAAACCCGAGAAUCUAUUCGAGGAAAACUUAUUGGCCACCGGUUGAAGUACUGGAAAAAGGAACACAAAGAAGAGGAUGCGGUAUACUUUUUGUCGAGAACCACUCGUCCGUGGGCGCUUAUUGUCGGUUUGGAACCAGAUACGUACUACUUCGUCAAAGUUAUGGUCUAUAAUGCUGCAGGAGAGGGCCCGGAAAGUGAACGCUACUUGGAGCGAACUUACCGAAAGGCUCCACAGAAACCACCGUCAUCUGUUAAUAUCUUCGGAAUAAAUCCUUCCACAAUAAGAGUUGUCUGGAGAUAUAUUUCACCUUCGCAAGACGAAGAACCGGUGCAAGGAUACAAGAUUCGUAUAUGGGAAACUGAUCAAGAUAUGUCUACUGCAAACGAUACCCUUGUAUGGAUAGGUCACAAGCUUGAAAAGUACAUUGAUAAUCUUAUUCCAGGCAAAUCUUACAAUCUUCGGGUGUUGGCUUUCAGUAACGGUGGAGAUGGAAGAAUGUCAAGUCCACCCAUAAAAUUUCAAAUGGCCACCACCUGCCGCAAACCGCCCCUCCAACCGCCUUCACCAACCGCCCACACCAACCGCCAACACCCGUCACCAAACCGCCUCGAACCACACAACCAAAUGAAAAUUUAUAAUGUGAUAGUGAAGAAAAGAAAUAAUGUUGAAUUCAAAUAUUGUAAGUAAUAAGUAAUGAAAAAAAUAUGAAUAAAUAGUGAGGAGGUUUUAUGCCUACGGGAGCAUGAUUUUGAAGAAAAAAUCAACUCCCGCGGGCUUUUCCCUGCUCUUGAAUCAUCAUUACUUCCUCCGAGUCCCUCUGUUCUUGUCUGCCUCGUGCUCCUUCAUCAUUUCCGGCUGCUUGUGGCCUCGGUGGAAUCGUCAACGCAUCGCAGGCAUCCCUACUGCUACUGUUCUCUGCCUGGAUGGUUGGGACACUAGUUGAAAGGCUAGUGUUUUCUGUUUCACUUAGCACCAUAUUGACUGCACUGUUCACGCACUCUAUCUGAGCUAGCAGCGUCUCUACAAGCUCGCACACGACCCUACGCGUUUCCUCUAAAUUCGCGACCACUGGAAUCAGUGAUAAUCUUUGCCGGUAAUGAAGCAAUCUCGAUUUCGCGCAAGCCAUUUGAUCGGCGUUUCGAUUCUGCGUGGCUAAAUCAACAUGAUUCCUCAAUUCUACAACUGCCCUCUGGCAGACCUCAAUGUUCAACUCCGGCGACAUUACGUGUUCCGAAUUUACAUAAAUGAUGUCUCUAAGGGUGUCCCCUUGGACAAGGGCUUUUAACUUGACCACCCUAGCUCUUCUAGGGCAUGGGGCUAGAUUCGUAACAUGGCGCAAGGCCAAUUCAUAUUCCAUCUCCUCAUCAUUAAGAUGAUACAAAUCAAUUUGUUUAUUCAUCAUUCUUUAUUAGGAUAAAAAAACCAGAUAUUUUUUGUAAUGUGGACUUACAGAUUACAAAAUCACGAUACGGUACAAAAAUUGAGAGAUAAUAAUAAUAACAUAACAGCAGCUUUUACUAAAUACUGUUACAAUAAUAAUAACAUCAUAAACAAAACUAAAACUUUAAUUUAACGAACAAAAUAAUGCGGUUCGUUUUAGUUGGGCGCCAUUUGUUAUGGAGGCUUUUGUGGUCAUCGCCACGUAAAUAGAAAAAAUAAUGGCUUCAAUAGAUUUUGGCAAAACACUCCCACAUUUCCCCGAAUCAGCGUGUACUCACCGCAUUCUUGCUGAAUGGAUUCCUUUUGUGCGGCACCUCGCCUGCCCUGCAUGCGUCCGCCGCCUUUCGACAGAACGCCGAUCGGAUGGCACCUCGUCUUCUGCUAUUUGGCCGCCCUACGACCGGAGCCGAUUGGUGGCACCUUGAUGCCGCUGCUGCUGUUUCGGCCGCCCUAAGCCUGGGGCCGAUUGGUGGCACCUUGAUGCCGCUGCUGCUGUUUCGGCCGCCCUAAGCCUGGGGCCGAUUGGUGGUACCUUGGCGCCGCUCUGUUCUUCGGCCGCCCUACGACCUGGGCCGAUUGGUGGCACCUUGGCGCCGCUACUGUUCUUCGGCCGCCCUACGACCUGGGCCGAUUGGUGGCACCUUGGCGCCACUGCUGCUGCUCGCUGUGGACCCUACCGGAAGACCUCCACUUUUCUUCACGGCUGAGUUCCGGUGCCUCCGAGUUAUUGUGGUGCUGCUCGGCGAUUCAGAGUGCCAAUUGGCAGCACUGCGUGAAUUCUGGCCCUUCGCCUACGGCACCUCCUGGGGUCUACCAGGGGGCUGCUGAUUUUCGUCUAGGUUGUUCGGCUCGCGUGCCAAUGCCCUACGCCUGUGGCGCCUCCUGGGAUCUACCAGGGGGCAGCUGAUUUUCUUCGGCUGUCGGCUCGCGGGCCAAUGGAGAUGUGCGCCGGAAUUUAUGCCACCGGAGCAGUGCCCGAAACCGCCUUGGAAUCCAGCGCUAUGAAAGAAAAUAGGGGAAAAAGGGCCGCCUUCGCAAAAGCGUAUUAGUUACCAGAUCCCUUUUCUUUUCCUGUUCUAUUCGGCAAAUUACCUCUGCGACCCUUUCCUGGCGCUUGCCUUCUCUUCCUUGAGCUCCUGACCGGGGAAUCGAGCUUCCUCACAAUGGACUGCGCUUUGCUUUGCUGGCUGGAUUCCGUCCCAAAAAUGCACGUGGCGUGGCCGGCUUUUGUUUUUGUUUGCAGCGCAGCAGCUCCUGCUGGUGCUGAUGCUGGAUUCGAUCCUCGGGCUUCUUCGACUCGUUAAACCGGGUUUUUUCUUCUCACGCACUACACCACUUCCCGAUUUCGGAGGCACUUUUCUCCGUCUAUCCACGACGGUACUUGGAACGAGAUGGCGGAUCUGUUCCGCAUGGCCCGUUUGACAGCUCUUGUUGCACGCUGCUUUUGCUUCCCUCAUUUUUGGGUGCUCUUAACAUUAAAAUGUACGCUUGGCGCAUUUUAACCGAUUUUGGUUUCAUAAUAGCAACACGCUAAUUUUACUCUAUAUGCACACAAAACUUUCGAGGCUCCACUUAGCAAAAAUGAGCUGUUACUUUCCAUUAGCAAAAAUUUUUUUUUACUGUCGAGUUAGCACUUUCCCAAAUUGUCGUGACUUUUGCUCAAUUUGAGUAAAAUUAACCAAAAUACUACUAAUUUUAGCAUUUAUAGUAGCAUGGACUCAAACUUUUAGCCUGUGCCCAAACCGCGUUCUUUAAGUGCUCAAAUUUUAGAAAGGCGACACAGGCGGGAACCUGUUAGAUUAUUCUUGUUUUCAUUUUGCACCACGCGCGGGUAAAACAUUUUUGUUCUGCUCCUCAGUUUUUCGUCGUUUGGUUAGAAUUUGGAUUAGGAUCAACAGCAUCUCGUGGGAGGGAAUGCUGCAGAAGUAGCCAUUCUUCCUCAAGCGGAACGGUUACCGGUUCGGUAACUAGUGGAAAAAUAGCGGAAUCCUAACGCUGCACAUACCGGUACGCGAUACCGAGAAAGGAGGAGAAAUGGUGAAGCGCAAAACCGAACCCGGAAGCAGCAGUAGUGGUUCCGCCGGGUUAUGUGUGUUGUUGACCUGUUUGGUGGUCAGUGUUUUUACUAUCAGGUAACAAAAAAAUAGACUGUCUAGCUAUUAUAGUUUUAUUUUUAUUCUUCUAAAUAUGAAAUGCACUAAACUUAAUUAUUUCUGUUUUUCAGAUUUCAGUGGUGAAGAUUUAAUAGAACGCGAUGAUGCAAUACACUUUUGGAAACCCGCAGAGUGAUGCGAACGAUAAUAAAAAAGAAGAUUAAAAAAAAUCAAAUCUCACUUUUUAAUUUUUUGAAAAUGUAAACCCUUCAUUAAAAAUAAUUUAAUUUUAGAUUUCACUCAAAUUCGAGCAAACGUUAGAAAAAUAAAUUUUGCUAAAAUUUUAGCAAAUAAAGGUUUUUGUUUGCUUGAAAAUUAGUAAACAUUCAGUCAGGACACAUUUUGUUAUUUUGCUAAAAUUUUAGUAAAAAUAAAUUGCUAAAUUGAUUGCUAAGAUUUUAGCUGGUCAAAUUUGAGCAAAAUUUUGCUAAUUUUCGGCCUCGGAAAUUUUGUGUGUGGGGAUGGGUUCUUAUGUGUUAGUUUGCCAAUCGCUCGUAUCGUGAAAUAUUCUAGGACUAAUAACUUAGCUAUAACCUUAAAUGCAACAUCAUGGCGAAAUCAUUAUCUGAGCAAUAUUUUGGUGAUUGGCAAAACUGCGUGUUUUACAAAAAUCAGAGCACCUGGCCAGCUGUCAAAUUUCGGCUGCGUUUCUCCCCCACCGCCGCAUCCAACCGCUCGCUCGUCUACUUUUUGCCAUACCAUUACAAUUGAAUCUAUUAUAUUCAAAGUUGAUUGCAUAAGGUCAAUCUGCAGUUUGUAUACAUAGUUGAAUCUACACUCAGAAAAAUACUAUUAUGUAUGCUAUAAGAUUCUCUUAUGAAGUGGCGCCAUAAGAAAAAUUAAUGAAAUUCAUAAGAUUGUCUUAUGACGCGAAUGAAUUCUGAAGAUGAACGCCUACUUCAAUGAGAGGUUGUUGCUUUUCAUAAGAGAUUCUUAUGGAAACAGUAAAUCACUUUCUAAUAAGAAAAAAUCUAGAUUUUUCAUGCUGAAAACAUUCACUUUAUUGUUUGCCAAAUUUGUUUAAAAUUGAAUCAUUCAUGGUCACCAUCAGCAGCGCAUCAACAGACGGCUCCAUCAAAUUUAUUUUUGCCGCAUCUUAAUCUUCGACCUUUCGUUUUUUGCCAAUCAGCUUGCUGAAAAGUAAACAAAUAAUGUAUAUUAGUUUACUUAUAUAUUAAACGAUCACACCAAACACAUCAAAUCGAACUUACCAUUCCGCAGAUAACAAUAACAUUUAAAAUUGAAGGGAAACUACAAUAACUAUGAACUGGCGAUUGCUUCGUACUGUUAGAUGAUGAAAAAAAAAACUGAUUCCAUGAAUGAAUGUGUUCAUUAUUUUUUCACAAAGCCGUUUCUUCUAUUUUUCAUAAGAACAUCGUAUGAAAAUUGAAAGAAUUUCAUAAGACUCUCAUGAAACAUUAUUUUGCACUCUAAAAAGCGGUUCAUAAGAUGCAUCUUAUGAAAAUUAUAAUAAGAAUUUGCCUGAGUGUAUUGUAUUUAUAGUUGAAUGCAUAAAAUAAACCAUAAAAUUGAAUGCAUUAUAUUGAUAGUUGAUUGCGUAAGAAAAAUUAGAAGUUUGUAGUUGAAUCGAUUAUAUAAGAAGUUGAAUGCGAAAAAAUCAACUGCAUUUCGAUUAUUGGUAUAACAACCCAACAAACUAACGAGCCUAUAGUAAACAAAGAGACGAAAUGUCACGAUUGGAAUUUUUGGAUUUUCUGUCAGUUUCAUUCCAAUCGAGCAAAACCAAGCAGUCUUAAAGGCAGACCUACAGCAGGGUUGCAAGCACAUUAUUUCAAAAGGGAUCAGAUUGCGCUUCUUUGUUUACUAUAGUUUCUUUACAACAAACCAUUAAGCACUGUUAUGAGCCGCAUUUGGGACGAAUAAUAGCAUUUCAGUGCCUAUAAGCCGUGUUCAGUAUUUUCAAAUGCCAAUAGGCUCUAUGAGUUUGAAGCCGUAGAGUAGGCUCUAAAUUGGCAUAUAAAGCAGUGUAUUAAGGCUUUCAAGCCCUGUGGGUAGAAGUUGGAUGACAUUCACGUCAAAGCCUGUGGGAGGGCUUUGUGCCUGUCAUUCAUGAGGCAGAAUAAAACGACUUGGUUCUGGAAGAAGAGCUGCGUAUUUGUUUACUUUGUCGAUAAUUUUUUAAACUUGGGAGAACAAAGAUCAUCUUGCUGUCAAUUAGAAGGAUGAUACGCUGGAAAAUACCCGAAACCCGCGGCCCGGGAGCAGCAGAAAAAAAAAUCGCUUCGUAUUACUAAUGGUCCCACAGGAACACCAUCAGCGAUUUGCAGUCUUAGCUACCCCGAUUGGAAGAUAGUUUCAGUGAUAUGUGGAAAGUAGAAAGUGUCCAGAAUAGUAAUUUCGUUUUCCGUUUUUGAAGUUCAAUAAACUAAGUGAUUUGAUGUAAAAAUUAA